GUUUCUAGGGUGUCCUCUUAGCACAUUAGAUUUUCAUUCUAAAGGGAUAAAUAAAUUUAUUAGAAAUA
This 68-nucleotide transfer RNA is filed under the name Alcithoe flemingi. Its description in RNAcentral is "tRNA-Glu". The record is from RNAcentral. Lineage: Eukaryota; Metazoa; Mollusca; Gastropoda; Neogastropoda; Volutidae.